GGAGAGAUGGCUCAGUGGUUAAGAGCACUGACUGCUCUUCCAGAGGUCCUGAGUUCCAUUCGCAGCAACCACA
RNAcentral lists this transfer RNA (73 nucleotides) under Mus musculus (house mouse). RNAcentral's name for it is "tRNA-Ser". Lineage: Eukaryota; Metazoa; Chordata; Mammalia; Rodentia; Muridae. The record is from RNAcentral.